CCCUAAACCCUAAACCCUAAACCC
RNAcentral lists this microRNA (24 nucleotides) under Ananas comosus (pineapple). Its description in RNAcentral is "microRNA s0539_c68a". Lineage: Eukaryota; Viridiplantae; Streptophyta; Magnoliopsida; Poales; Bromeliaceae. The record is from RNAcentral.